Non-coding RNA from Equus caballus (horse), 3030 nucleotides. Lineage: Eukaryota; Metazoa; Chordata; Mammalia; Perissodactyla; Equidae. The record is from RefSeq and is a predicted model, not a curated record.
UUUUUAAAAUUAACUUUACUGGGGUAUAACUUACAUAAAAUGCACCCAUUUUAACUGUACAUCAUGAUACACUUAGAUAAAAUGUAUGCACCUGCACUCUGCAUGAUUUUUAACUUAGAGGGAUGUGUGACCUGAGUUCAAUACUAAAUGGUCACUUACUAGCUAUGUGACCUUGGGUAAGUUACCUUAACUUCUCAAAGCCUCAGUUCUUCUCUCUGUAAAAUGAGGAUAAUGACAAUCUCAUAGAGUUGUGAAGAUUCACUCUGCUACCAUCUACUGCUGAAUAAUUUCUGAAGGACAAAGUUCCACUAGAAAUAAGUAGUUAUGAAGUCAGGCAAAAAUUCACAGACGCUAAAGCGUAGCUUCUGCAAUUGUUCCAGUACGAUGCUAAGCACUGGAAGCAGGUUGGUGGCGGGUUUUUUUUCCUUUACACUCCCUACAAGCGUGAAGGCAACGUUCUUCAGCGUCUGAGAACGUGGGCGAACUGUAUGUGCUGAAUGACGUGGCUUCGCUUUGGUCACAAGGGCUUCUGCCAGCCAAUGAACAACUUCCUGUGAAUACAGUCUGACGUCAGACAUGGAGAAACCCAUACGGCAGUGGCUUCAUGUCAUCCUUGAUUACGUCUGGAUAUAUACUCGGAGAUUUUUUUCUUUUUUUUCAUUUAUUUGUUUAUUUUUGGAUGUACAUCAUAAUAUAUUUCCGAUUCUGUGUAGAUUACAUCAUGUUCACCACCCGAAAACUAAUUACAGUCCAUCCCCUCACAGGUGAGCCUAAUCACCCCUUUUGCCCUCCCUCCUCCCCGCUUCCCCUGUGGUAACCAUCAAUCCAACCUCCAAUGUUAUGCGUUUGUUUGCCGUUGUUUCUGGAGAUUUUCACCCCCACAUCUUUCAGAUAGCCGAGGGGAACAGUGAAAACAGCCAUACGCAUUUUCCAGCUUCGUGCCUACAUUUCUCCAAAUAUUGCUCUCUGAACUUGGUCUGCAAGUAUCAGGUCAGGUGUCUACUGUAAUUAACAGGCAUCCUGCGGACUGUAAUUAAAAGGCAGUUUGAAAUUAGUGAUACUUUGAUUCUAGCCAUUUGUAUUUUAUAACUCACAGUGAAUUCGCCUCAAAAAUGUUUAGUCCUCUCAUGUCCUUGCUCCCUGGUUUUUCUUCGGUUAGGCACUUUGGAAUUCAGCUGCAUUCUUCUACUUUCAACAAGUUACCUUCCUACCACUUCCAUUUGGGUGGAGCCAGAAGGAAGAAACGCCCAAACAGAUCUUCAGGAUCCACCCUCCCCAAUAGGUUCUCACGGCAGAGAUGCGCCUGGCAGGAGCUUCAACCCCAAGGCCACCCGCCGCCGCGGGUUCCCAAACCCGGAUAGGGCCCUAAUGGGAAAGCAGCCUGGGUUCGCCUCGGCCCAGCCUCCGCCAAGUCUUCGGGAUCUGACGACCCACAACAGCGCGAGGGCGGAGGGACCGGAGGAAGCAGAGGAAGAGGAGGAAGAGGAAUUGCUUUUGUCGAGGCUCCGCCCGGCGCUAGCCAGGCCUCGUGGAGCCUCCGGGGCUCGGGGUCCCCAGGGGGCGUGGCCUCAGGGGCGGAAGCGGAGCGCGGGCGGGGGCUCAGGCAGCGCGCGGCGCGGGGGAGGGUCGGAGCCUCACCGGGCGGGGCGGGGCCGCAGGGCCUCCCCAGAGCGGGCGGCGGAGCUGCACUAGUCCGCGCGCGGUAGGGCGGAGACCCCGUACCCGAGGAGAAGGCAAAUUCUUAAGAAGGUCUCCAGUUCUGCCCAUCCUGCCCCACAGUUGGAAAACUGGACGCUGAGAAGUACACGCCAGAUUUGGCGGCCAGGCUAGUCUGAGAGCUAUAGGACAUGGAGCACCCCCAGGGGAAGCAAGACAGGAUUCUCUCUCCCUCCUAGAUGUGAAUGUGUGACAUAGCUCCGCUCUCAACUCCUCUUUGCAGAUGAUUUGUGUUGUCAGAUAAUUCAAUCUUUCUAGUUUUGUGACAGCUUCUUAACUGAAUUCCUCCACUUUUAGUUCAGCUUAAGCCUUGAUUGUGUCAUCUACCCCAAUGCUAGACGAAAGAGUUAAAGGACCAAAAGAGAGUAAGCCUUUUAAAGAAAGAAAAGAGCUAUAUAAUUGCCUAAGUAAAGCAUACUUCAGCUUUCAUAACUGCAAAAUACGUUCAGUUUAACCAACCAAAUUUUGUGCUGGACCCUGGGAUAACACAUAUGUACUAUAGAUACUCUAGUAGGGAAGAUAGAUGAAUAGAAAGACAACUAUAAGUCAGUGUUAUACCUUUAAUAAUAAGAGCACAUACUAGGUACAAAAGUGGCUAACUGAAGGAGUGACUAAUUCUAUGAGGUAUCUGGGGACAGGGGUAUAAGAAAAAGGUUUCAGCCAGGAAUGAUGCCCAUCAGAGGGGGUGUUUGAAGCAUUAGCAGGAAUGGUUAAAAAAAAAAAAAGCUCAUGAGGUAGAUAGUAAUAAAUGACUACGAAAUACUGAUUGACAACACAGAAGAAAGUAAACUGUAAAGAGGUGAAUUCUCUUAAUUUUAAAUUAUCAGCAAAGAGAUUAGUUGAAAAAUGGGGUGAAGGAAUAAAGAACUCCUUUUAGUCAAGUCUUAAAAGUUACAGAAGUAAAAUAACGCUUCCAUAAUUCCCACUCCAGUAAAGACCAGUGUUGUUACAUUGGUGUAUGUUCCUCCAGGGUGUGUAUUCAUGACUGACCUAGUUUUCUGUAGAAAUGGAAUCUUCAUACACUGGAGGUGGUGUAGGAAAGUGGUUGCAUGUGCUGGCUUAGGCAGUCUGGUCUGGAGUGCAGGGUCCACUCCUUCCCAGUUCUGUCAUCUUGGGAAGUCAUUUCUCUUCACCUCAGUUUCCUCCUCUGCAGAAUAGGGCUAUAACUGUGUCACUUGUCGGUUGAGAUUUUAAAUGUCAGCAGAGACGUUUUGUGCAUGGAAAGGAACCCAUAAAGUGGCUUUUGUUUUAAUUGAUAUUUAAUUUAUUAGGAGUGUAAAAUUUAAUUCUAGUUACUAAGCAGUGAAACCCAAA